Long non-coding RNA from Equus asinus (donkey), 6695 nucleotides. Lineage: Eukaryota; Metazoa; Chordata; Mammalia; Perissodactyla; Equidae. The record is from Ensembl.
UGAACUACUCCCUCUGAUCUGUUUUCAGUUCUUGGAAGACAGUACAUGCCCAGCUCCCUCAGGAUCUCUACACACGUUGCUUCAUCUAUGUGGAAUAACUUUCCUCUUCACUCUUCCCUUGGCUAAACCCUAAGCUUUUUUGGGUGCUAGCUUCAAUGUCUAUUCCUCAGAAAAGUAUUUUUUUUUACAUCUUAGGCAAUGUUGGAUCCUAUUUUCAUAUACUUUAUAAUUUCCCAUUAUAGGUUUUAUCAUAAUUGUGAUCAAAUAAUUACAUAAAUUUUCCUUAAUGUCUCUCCUGCACUGCAGUUUCCAUGAAAGCAGGGUCAUGUUUAUUGCUUCAUUCCUGAAGUGAACUCAGUACCUAGCACGUAAGAGGGACAUAGUAAAUAUUUGUUUAUUCAUUAAUUUAACUGAUAGGCAGUGUUUUGACUGUUAGGGAUAUAGUAGUGAAUAAACAGAAAAAACUGAAUGAAUACAUUGAGUCAUGUUUUAUUGCUCAGUAAAGAGGUAAUUAAAGGCCAGUAUCUUUUAAUUGGGAGAGAUAAUGCUGGAUUGUACAUUUACUGUUAAAGUUCAUUGACGCAUUUCUUUAUUAUAGAAAGGAGAAAUAUGAUAGCCUUAUAUCUCUUUAACUCACACUAUGAGUUAUGGCCUAGAAAAAAAUUUUCUGAACCUCUGAGCAAUGUUUAUAAUACAUAGUUAACGCUAAAUUUCAUAUAUCGCUGAGAUAUGCAUCAGAUUUUACCUUAUUGUUGCUGUUAGCAGCUUACUGUGUGUCAUUACCAAGCACAGAAGUUGUACUGGCUUAUUUAAAACAUUUGGUUUUUGCAGGGAACCAGUUAAGUUUGAUUCCUAUAUAAAAUAGGCCAGAUACUUAGAUUAUGUCCAACUUUGAAAAUUUCCUGUAAGAUGUAGAUAACCUGUUUAAGUUGUUUACCAGCUUAAACAAGAUUCCUAAGACUUCUGUAGGAAAGAAGACUAGUAGAAGAUUGGUUAGGUGACAAUUCUCAUCCUGGAACGAUAGAAUGAGAAUUUUGGAGACCUUUUCUGAUAGAAUUUAAGAAGGAUUCAGAGAAGAGGCUGGAAGAGAAGCAAGCCUAACCCCAUGUUCAUCCCCAUCUCGGUACUAAGGCCAUGUCCUCACAGAUAGUGAGGCUGGAGAAAAGCAAGGUGGGGAGGAUUGCUGAGUAGUGCUUUCUUACUUGUGAUGUAAAAGGAACCCUAGGAAGAAGAACAGAAAGAAGAGAGGCCUCUAAGAGGAAGGAAAGCUUAUGGAGAACAGUUAACGAUGGAAGAGUAGGAACUCCCGGCGAGGUACCUGUAUGCUUUCUAAUACAAUAUACUCUUUCUUUUUACUUAAGACACCUUGUCCUAACUCAUGCUUCCUUCAGAGGAGUGCAUACGGAACUCUUCACCUGUUCCCCCCUCUCCUUCUUUCCCUCCACCCUUCCUCCUCUCUCUCCCCUCUCCCUGCUGUCGCCAAAACUCAUGCUCAAAUUUUGUUUCCUUUGUAGAAAAUAUGAACACUUGUUGGGUCUGUGAUAAUAAGAUCAUUGACUCUUGUGUCUGGAAAAGACCUGCAGAGUCCUCUAGCGUAGAUGCCCAUCUACCUAGAACACAGGGCGGUUCAUACAACCAACAUUUAUUCGGUAGCUGCUUUGUGCCCCUCAUUUUAGGGGCUGGAAAUACUCCUAACAAACAAAAACUUUGCCCUCAUAGAGCUUACAUUAGAGUGAAUACAUCAGUACACAUGGAAUAUUUCCACGUAAAGUUGAUGGAUAUCUUACAAUGAAUGAGCAAAUAGAAGAUUGGAAAAUCUGUUCCGGGUCUUUCCUUCUGUAUGACUUUCAUAGGCUAGAUGUCAUCAUCUAGUUUCUGUCUAUCUUAGUUUACUCCAAAUGCUCAUGCUCAUAGUAUAUUUAUGAGUUAUCUAGGGUUUUUUUUUUUUUCAGAAAAAGCUACAUUUAAAGAUUGUUUUCCUUGAGCUACUCUAAGCUAAAACAGGACAUACCUAUAUAUCAAGUGACCAUUUAAAAAGAACCACCGUAGAAUUCUGAACCUAGGGCAGUAUUGUGAUUAUUGUAAGAACAACCCUCUUGCAAAUCCGUUUUCGUCUGGGUUACUGAUGUGUUUGGGUUUUCUUGGCUUUAAAAGAUAGUAGAGAUGAGGUUGACUUUCUAAAUGUGAUGUUGUUUUUAUUGACUUUAGACAAAAAAGACAGUGGACAUCUUUGUAUUGUAGAUUAUUUUUAGAGUAUCUGGGAAGGACAAAGAGAAAAUAUGUUCAUUUUUCUGCAUUUGCUUUUUCCGUGUGUGUGUGUGUGUGUGUCUGUGUUCAUCUCUGUACUCCCCAAUGUAGUCACACAUGUUAAUCCUUUUCUACCCUUUAAGACCAGAAGAUAAAGUAAGGAAAGGCAAAAAGGAUCAUAAAUAUUUUCUUAAAAUGUUAAAACUAGAUCAUUUGUUAGCUAAGUACAGUUUCUUCUCUGGGACACUGAAAAAGUACUUGAGUCUUUUCUAAAAACGUUUCUUUUGUUCUUAAAGAUAUUUUGAUUUAUUUGAAGCAUUCGGGCAAAGCAAAAGGAAGGAUGGCCUUUCGAGGGAAAUGGUGACAUCGGGGUCAAGAAGGUCACAUGAAGUGGUAGGAUUUGGCUUAUGGUGUGUGUGUGUUUGCACAUGUGACACACAUGUCCUUUAUCUGGUAGAAUUAGAAAAAUGACAUCUGUUUUCUUGAAAGUGAGGGGAGUAAAUGAUUCCAACAGGAUUAGAAGUGUGAUGGAAACAUUAUGACGGAUUUGAUCACAAUCAGGUUUGUUUUUUUCCCCAGCCCAGAAAACACUAAGCUUGAGAAAUAACAAAGGGGAAAAGUUUCCCCUUUCCUAGUCCAGAAGAAAGAAAGUUGCAGAAACAACAGAACAGGAAAAUGUUUGGAAUGAUGCCUUUGUUUUUUUGGCUUAGAGUAGAUGGUUCUAAUGGGCAGGAGUUACUCAUUGCGUCUAGAAUUCUCUCUCUGCUGUGUACAUAAUAAAUAAAUGUUCUACGAUUCCUCGCCCUGGUUCCUUCUUGAAAGCUGAGAGAGUUAAAUUUUUUUUCCUAAUGAUUUUACCUGAGUGUAUGAAACAAGAUAAUAGUUUUUGACGUUUUUCCUUCCCCGGCAUGCCUGAGGGAAAGGACACAUUUCAAUCACUAAGAGUAAGUCAUAGUGGCAGUAAUUUGCACCCAGGUUGUGAAUCUUGAAAAAAGCCCCGUGGGUGAUUUUGUUAUACCCCUAUAGAAUUAUUAAAGUAGGUAGACCAUAGUGAAAUUCAUACACAUACUUUGGCUUUGUAGUUUGGGGGAGUUUUUUUCAAUUAUUUUUUAUUGUAGUAAAUAGACAUAGCAUAAAAUUUACCAUCGCAACCAUUUUUAAGUGUACGGUUCCGUGGUAUUAAAUAUAUUCAUAAUGCUCCGCAGCCACCACCACCAUCCGUCUCCAUAGGUCUUUUCAUGUUGUAAAACUGAAACCAUAUCCCCAUUAAACACUAACUCCCCAUCCUCCCUCCCCACAGCCCCCAGCAACCACCAUUCUGCUUUCUGUCUCUAGGAUUUUGACUACGCUAGGUCUCUCGUGUAAGUGGAAUCAUACAAUAUUUGUCUUUUUGUGACUGGCUUUUUUCACUUAGCGUAAUGUCCUCAAGAUAUGCCAUGUUGUAGCAUAUGUCAGAAUUUUCUCCCUUUUUAAGAUUGAAUAAUGUUCCAUUGCAUGUAUAUACCACAUUUGGCUUAUCCAUUCAUCUGGCAGUGGACACUUGGGUUGCUUCCAUGUUUUAGCUACUGUGAAUAAUGCUGCUACAAGCAGGGGUGUACAUAUAUCUCUUGAGGCUCUGCUUUCAAUUCCUGUGGGUGUAUACUCAGAAGUGGAAUUACUGGAUCAUAUGGUAAUUCCAUUUUUAAUUUUUGAGGAACUAUCAUACUAUUUCCCAUAGCCGCUAGACCGUUUUAUGUUCUGACCAACAAGGUGGGAACAAGGGUUCCAGUUUUCCCACAUCCUCACUAACACUUGCUAUUUUCUGUUUUUAUGAUAGUAGCCGUCCAAAUGGUGUGAAGAGGUAUCCCAUUGUAGUUUUGAUUUGCAUUUCCCUAAUGAUUAGUGAUGUUUAGCAUCUUUUCGUGUGCUUAUUGGCCAUUUGUGUAUCUUCUUUGGAGAAAUGUCUGUUCAUGUCCUUUGCCCAUUUUUGAAUUGGAGUGUUUUUUUAAAUUGAGCUUUAGGAGUUCUCUGUAUUUUCUGGAUAUUUCUCCCUAUCAGGUGUAUGAUUUGCAAAUAUAUUCUGUGGGGUGCCUUUUUAUUCUGUUGAUACUAUGUUUUGAUGCACAAAAUUUUUAAAUUUCCACUAAGUCCCAUCUGUCUAUUUUUACUUCUGUCCCUUGUGCCUUUGGUAUCACAGCCAAGAAACAUUGCCAAAUCCUAGGCUAUGUAAGUUUUAUCUUCAAACAGUCCACACAUUAAAAUAUAAUUUAUCAUUUUGAAUUUCUUGAGCACUUUUUCCUUGUUAAUAUUAUUGUAUAGAUAUUUUUCAUGUCCCAGGAGUGAGGAAAAUAAACCAGGUACAUAUAUUUUGUUUUUAAAAUCAGGAUGUUGGAAGUUGCUAAUCUUUUGUUCUUUGGGCCACAUUUGGAAAACAUCAGUUUAAUCACCCAAAUUAUUCCUUUCGAAACUAAAAAUAAUUCUUUUUAGGGCCUUGUGUGAUUGCUGUCACUUGCCACAAGACAGUAGAUGAAGUUGGUUGCUGUUUGAGGUGGGAGGUGGGAAUAACUUCGGGGGACCGAGGCGGCUCAGGACAGCGUCACCUGAAUGAAGUCUCUGAGCGCGGCAUCUGGGCCCAGUUUUGCAAGGCUUGAAUUCUCAUUCUGUCAGAACACUAAUAAAUGAGUGGAACUGGCUUGGCUAAAAAAGCUUUCCAAAGUCUGGUGGACAAAGUACAACAAUGGUUUACUAAUUUCUAAAGAGAGGGUAGUCCCUUCCAACGACGGAACUAUUGCUGUCUGCCUUCACGAUCAACCUCUGUUUUGUGUCAAGGCACCUAGUGAUUUGAAUUUUAGAAGCCAGAUACAUGUUUGGAGAGCGUGACGUCAAAGCAGAGGGAAGUGGAUUGUAGACAGAGGCAUGUUUAUUCAGGCUCUGGUGCGGCUGGUUUGACAGCAGGCUGCCGAAGGUCCUCACCGCCUGAUGCCCACGGAAGAAAAUGAGGAGAAACAGCUUUUUCAUUCCAAGUAGGAUGGACAGCUGUUUUGAAAGAAAUGUAGUCAUAUAUUGGUAUUAUGUUUUAAAGAUUUACUGAGAUUCCCUGUGCUGUCACGACAGUUUCUGUGAGUUUCAGAAGUAGAGUUUCUUCGUUAGGAGAACAUUCGUUCGUAACGUUACCUAAAUUGUAAGGAAAGAGAUUCCUUCGCUCCGUGCUCUGUUUAUCCCUUUUGGCGGGUUGUGGUGCUGAAAGUUACCUGAAAGCAAUUUGGCGUCCACCGUAUGAACCAGCGUGGCAGGGUGACCAUCACAGCUUAGCACAUGACAGCCGUGUUUGCUCGAGAAGUUACAAGUCCUUAGAGCUAAAGCUACUGAGGAAUUUCCUUAAGCUGAGACUAACCUUUCUGCUCACUGUCUCUAAGAUGUGCUCACAAUUACAGACGCCAUCAGUAAUGUUUCUCGUGGAGGGGAGGAAGGCUGCUAUAGUGUACUGGUGAAAAACAGCUAGACGCUUAUGCAUAUGGAAAAGACUGUAUCUGUUAAGGUUCCAAAUAAUUUUCUCAUGGAGUUGAGUAAUAAGGAAGAAAGAAACAUACAAAGAAAGUUCUAGUUUCUAGACAUGGAGAAAAAAUAAGAGUAAAACAUCACUUAUUGUCACCAAGCCAAUUGCUCAUAGUGUCAUCAUGUCCAUUUGAAGAGAUUAAUGUCCAUACACAAAAAUUAUAAGCACAAGAGAAAGAGUUUACCUUAUGUAAGUAAAUGACUUAAAAUUAAUCCAGGUAAAUAGAGGUUUCAAAUCAACUAAUGUAUACUGGAUAUCUAUUAUGUGGGACCCAGAGAAGACUGCAUUUCUGCAUUUUUUUCCUAUUUUCUAUGUAAAUCUAUGUGCCGGUCAUUUAAAAUUUGUAAUUUCUCAUUGAUUCAGCGUGUAUUUAUAUACUGCCUCACAUGCACGUCUGUGAGAACAUGGUGCUAUGUCUAUGAGAGGAAGUGCUUGAUUGAUUUUGUGUAACAGAAUGACCAUUAAUGGUUGGAUAUCUUCCAAAUUGAAUCUGACUCAAGUUAAAUAGCAAUGGUUAAUAUUAACUAAGAGAGAUUAAUUACAUGCCAGAAGUCUCUUGAAAUAGUCUAUCCUGAGAAAAAGAGAAGUAAUUUGAUGAUGUGUAAGUCCAUAUUCUUUGGGGAUACUUACUUCUCCUCUUCUCGGGAUACAGAAUAAGAGACAGACUCUGAUAAAAUCUUAAUACCAGGUAUCAUUAGCUUAGGUCUUGGGGUUUAUAUGUGGGUGCCUGCUAGACAUUCUUCCCCCUUCAGGCUGUGCUCAUGUUGUUUCCCAUUGCUUAAAACACUUUAAUCAGUGCCUUCCUCUUUCUUCCCCACUUCUAAUUUCUACAUAUUGUGAGAGUCUCAGCUUAGAAGCACUUUCCCCAGGAAACUUUCUGUAUUAGGGUUCUCUAGAGAAACAGAACCAAGAG